This 74-nucleotide transfer RNA is filed under the name Stegodyphus mimosarum. It matches the Rfam family "tRNA". Rfam says of the family: Transfer RNA (tRNA) molecules are approximately 80 nucleotides in length. Their secondary structure includes four short double-helical elements and three loops (D, anti-codon, and T loops). Lineage: Eukaryota; Metazoa; Arthropoda; Arachnida; Araneae; Eresidae. The record is from Rfam by way of RNAcentral.
GCCUUCGUAGCGUAGUGGUCAGCACACUCGACGCGUAACCGAGAGGUCCGUGGUCCGAAUCCCCGGCAAGGGCA